CGUGUAGGCGGUUAGGCAAGUCGGGUGUGAAAUCCCCGGGCUCAACUCGGGAACUGCAUCCGAAACUGCUUGGCUAGAGUCCCGGAGAGGAAGGCAGAAUUCCCAGUGUAGGGGUGAAAUCCGUAGAUACUGGGAGGAAUACCAGAGGCGAAGGCGGCCUUCUGGACGGUGACUGACGCUGAGGCGCGAAAGCGUGGGGAGCAAACAGGAUUAGAUACCCUGGUAGUCC
This 229-nucleotide ribosomal RNA is filed under the name uncultured bacterium. RNAcentral describes it as "partial 16S ribosomal RNA". It matches the Rfam family "Bacterial small subunit ribosomal RNA", at positions 568 to 796 of the family's 1533-position model. The record is from RNAcentral.